UGCCAGCAGCCGCGGUAAUACGGAGGGUGCAAGCGUUAAUCGGAAUUACUGGGCGUGAAGCGCGCGUAGGCGGUUUUGUAAGUCGGAUGUGAAAUCCCCGGGCUUAACCUGGGAACUGCACUCGAUACUGCAUGGCUAGAGUAUGGUAGAGGGAAGUGGAAUUUCCGGUGUAGCGGUGAAAUGCGUAGAUAUCGGAAGGAACACCAGUGGCGAAGGCGGCUUCUUGGACCAACACUGACGCUGAGGUGCGAAAGCGUGGGUAGCAAACAGGAUUAGAUA
This 279-nucleotide ribosomal RNA is filed under the name uncultured bacterium. RNAcentral's name for it is "partial 16S ribosomal RNA". It matches the Rfam family "Bacterial small subunit ribosomal RNA", at positions 506 to 784 of the family's 1533-position model. The record is from RNAcentral.